This is a small nucleolar RNA of Oncorhynchus mykiss (rainbow trout), 73 nucleotides long. The record is from Ensembl. NCBI's taxonomy places the organism in Eukaryota, Metazoa, Chordata, Actinopteri, Salmoniformes, Salmonidae.
AGCCAGUGAUGAAAAGAUUCUGCCAUAUGAUUACACUGCUUAUACUCCAACCGGUCCAUUUAUUUCUGGGGGU